UUUGGAGUUUUAACGAAAAGCUCACGGUACUGUUCACUUUAACGAAAAACCACAUUUUUACACUAAAAAGUCAAACCUGGUACUAUUCAUUUUACCCUUUAUGUUGUCAUUAUAAUUAAAACUCAAAGUUUUCAAACCAUUUUCAUUAGUUUUUUUUUUUUUUUCUACUAGAAGUGAAAUCAUUACCAUAGCCUACCACUGCAACCACCAGCCAAACACUACCACCAACAUCGUUGUUGCCGCUGCCACUACUACUACCAUUGCUGCCAUUGUUGCCACCACUGCUGCUUGGACAGUGCCACCACUGCCACCACUGUUGCCACUACCGCCACAAUCCACAAAUGCCACCAUUGCCACUACAACCACUGAUGGGUUGGGAAUGCAAACUAAAAGCUGAAAAUCAAAGACAAAAAAUUAAAAACUAAAAACUGAAAUGUAUUUCAAACGGGCCUAAGGUGGUGUUAAAAUUUCAAUAAGUGAAGGAUUCCAGCCCUUCAAAUAUGACAACCUAAAUUGUACUUGUAAUAUUGCUUUUGAGUUACAUGAAUCGUAUUUCCACAUCUUAUUAUUGACUUUAUUCCCCUUUAGUAUUAUGAUUUGCCUUUUCAGUAGCAAUAGUCCGUCAAAACUCUUGUAAUUAUUCUUUGAAUUCAAUCAAUGUGAUCCAAAUCAAUGUCAUCCUUGGAGAUAACCCCGUCCAAUUUUCUCUCAUGUAUUGUUAGGUCGGUCAAACAAGUUCAAUUUAAAAAUAAAAAGUAGGUCCAUAAAAUAUAAGAAAAAUAAGACAGGUGAGAUGCACCCAUCAUAUGUAUGUGCAAUUGUGCAUGAAUGGAUGUUAUUAGGUACCAAUCAUUUGUUGGGUGUCGGGGAGAGGGAGUGAUACGGUCCAAUCCUCCCCAUAAAUACCAAGACUUAGACAAGAUAGCGACGCAGUUUGCGAAUUUAACAAAAAGACAUGAGAACCAAAAUAAUGCAUAGAGAGGAUUUGGAAUUUGAUUGGUUUUUCAGUUCUUCCACUAUUAUUAAUUAUUAUGCAUGCAGCCCAUCCCUUUUCAAAGUCUUUGUUUCUUUCAUAAAUGCAAAUUUCAUUUGAUUUGUGUUGGUUCGUUCAACUAUGGGACCAUACUGUUAUUCGUACUUUAAAAAUAUCAAUUUAUAUUUUACAUAAGUAUAUUUUUCUUUCUAAUUAUAUAAAGUUUAAAGUGCCAAAUAAGAUUUUUGAAGAGCUAAUAACAAUUUCCGUAAUUGAAUUACUGAUGGACAUCAAUUUAUAUAACAUAGGUACACUGAUACGAUAUCAUUCUAUGUUAAUGAAUUAAAAAUAUGUUUAUGUCUUUGUUCACAUAUAAUUUUGUUGACACGAAACUUCACAUAGCUGUAUAACCGUACAAUGUAUGUUGUUCUCUUACCCGUACACAACGACGGAACACAAACAUAGACGCUAUUAUUGUUCUUUUUUACUUAAUGUCUUUAUUUGGGAAGGAAUUUCAUCCCUUCACUUGUCACCUUUUGUACUUCUUUAGUCCUCUUAUAUUUUGAUUUAUUCAAAUUCAAUAACUAAACAAAAUAAAGGAAUUGUAUAAGGUGAAAAGAGUAGUGUAUAAAUCAUUUCGCCUUUUUUUUUCUUUUUCAUAAUAGGUAGUAUAAAUUAUAAAACAAUAAUUGAUCAGUCGUUGAUAAGGAUAUUCACUAACUACACUAUCACCUCAUUAACAACUGCUUAAUAGCUGUUAAAAAUAUCUACCUCUACUUUAAACUUGUAUGUACUGUUGAAAUCCCUUAGUGUAAUUAUUAGAUAAUUAGUUAGUCAGCUCUGUCUAUAUCUAACGUUAACUAGUUAUUUAUUUAAUACAACGUUAAUAGCUCUUCUGAGCGGACACUAUUAUAUUUUAUACAAUCUGAAUUGUUCAUUCGUAAGUUCAUCACUCAUAAAUCAUCCUCAUCAAACUGGAAAGUUGUUGAGUUAUUUACUAUGACUUGAUAUAUAAACGAACUAUAGCUUUGUCAAACCAAAAUAAAAACAGUCUCUACCGCCCGUGGGUCUGGCAUCUUGAAUUCCCAGCCCGUGUAUUAUUCUCAUCUGGUUGAAUAAUUUGAAUAAUAAUUAAGGUGGUCUGAAUAUCCACAUCCUAUCUAGUUGAUGAUAUUUAGAAGUUAUCACUAAUAAAUAACUUGUAUUAGACGAUGCCAAGUUGACCUAAUUAUAUACCCAGAAAAAAUGUAGAUGCAGUCCAUCUAUCUUGUACUAUUAUUUGAUUUUCCGCGUGUAUCGACAAACAUUAUUUAAUUAAAUCGGUCAGGGUGAUUAAUCGGGACAGGGCAAUUAGCCUACUCCAUACAAUACGGGGUCGGUCUGUGAGUUAUUGACCAACUGUAUAUUCCCAAGGGGUCGAUUUCAUACAGCUGCAGUUUAUUUAGGAUUUAAUUAUUUCCUUCCUCAGAAAAAUGAAAACAAUUAUGCCAAUAUUGCAAAGUUCGUUGGAGAAUGUAAAGUCCCAUAUUAGGGAUAUGACAAAAUAAUAUGUAAUUAAUAUGUGAAAGACUCACAAAUAACGUCUUCAUGGCCUUUUGUGUUGAACCACGCAUCUAGCGAUAAGUUAUUAAAUAAGGA
This 2611-nucleotide long non-coding RNA is filed under the name Malus domestica (apple). RNAcentral describes it as "long non-coding RNA (MDOM_LNC009045)". The record is from RNAcentral. Lineage: Eukaryota; Viridiplantae; Streptophyta; Magnoliopsida; Rosales; Rosaceae.